This 377-nucleotide ribosomal RNA is filed under the name uncultured bacterium. RNAcentral describes it as "bacterial SSU rRNA". It matches the Rfam family "Bacterial small subunit ribosomal RNA", at positions 521 to 896 of the family's 1533-position model. The record is from RNAcentral.
UAAUACAGAGGGUGCGAGCGUUAAUCGGAAUUACUGGGCGUAAAGGGUGCGUAGGUGGUUGUGUCAGUUAGGUGUGAAAUUCCUGGGCUUAACCUGGGAACUGCGCCUGAUACUGCAUAGCUAGAGUAUUGUAGAGGAAAGUGGAAUUUCCGGUGUAGCGGUGAAAUGCGUAGAUAUCGGAAGGAACAUCAGUGGCGAAGGCGACUUUCUGGACAAAUACUGACACUGAGGCACGAAAGCAUGGGGAGCAAACAGGAUUAGAUACCCUGGUAGUCCAUGCCGUAAACGAUGAAGACUGGCUGUUGGGAACCCUUGGGUUCUUGGUAGCGAAGCUAACGCGUUAAGUCUUCCGCCUGGGGAGUACGGCCGCAAGGUUA